CAAAGAUAUUUGCUCCCUUAUUCAGAGCCCCGCAAGAAUUGUGUAUGUAUGGGGGUAUGCUUUACAUAGACGUAAACAUAUUCUCAACAUUAGCCUCCCUAUUGUGACUUAAAUGUACAUAUUCCAUACCAAUAAUUUUGAUAGAAAUAAACAUGCACAGCAUACCCUUCAAUAUUUAACAGAUCAGAAUGGGGAUAUGCAUGACCACAUCCGGUUAAGAAUAACAUGCAGGCUGGCAGAAGCUGUAGCCAUUUGCUUUUAGUCUGAGCCUAAAGAGAAAAGAAAAUUUCUCUCCCUCCUCUUCUCUCCCUCAUGUCGAGUUGGUUAUUUACAACAUCUUCUUGUACUAUGAACUUAGCCCUCAGCUAUUUUCUUUUACAUGAACAUACUGGGAAGGGAAAGAUUCUACUUACUGCUUCUCUCCUACUGUUGAGUUCAUUUUUGCCCUCAGUACUCAGUUUGAAGCAUUUAUGCCCCCGGUGGUGGAGCGGAUUAAACCGCAGAGUUGCUGAACUUGCUGACCGAAAGCUGAAAUGUAGAAGUCCCUGUGCUGCUGUCAACAUAAGACUGGGGAGCAGGAAGACCUGCAACCAUCAAGACGCUUGUCUCCCAGUCCAGCCGCCUCCAGAAAAUGAAAAUCAGAAAUCACUUGGUGACACACCUGUGAGCUAGUUGAGGUGCUCUGAGGCACAGAAAUAUAUAUCUUGUUGACUCACCCUUCAAAUACCAUGAAUUGUUUGUCUGGAUUGGGAAAAGUUUUUUAGGCAGUCAGUGGACUUGCAAGUGGGAGCAAAUGAGAGGAAGAGGACAAAGAAGAAUGCUUGCAGUACUUGGAGUCAACUGGGUAAGGUGUUAAAAGUCCACCCUGGACCUUCCACAGAUAUAUACACAUCCCUUGCUUAGUUUCCAAUAUACGUCACAACCUCUGAGAAUGCCUGCCAUAGAUGUGGGUGAAAUGCCAGGAGAGAAUGCUUGUGGAACAUGGCCAUACAGCCUGGAAAACUCACAGCAACCCAGUGAUUCUGGCCAUGAAAGCCUUUAACAACACACUGUUUUAGAAUUAAUUCAAAAUUAACUUAUGACAUUAUUGUAUACAACCUGCUGUCCUGUGACGACAUGCUGACUCCUUUCAAAUGGCCCCUGGCAUUACACCAUUGCAGUGCCUUAGCAGUGUGAAGCUACACUUCUGGGCAGGUGGCAUAGCUGUUCUCCUGCUCCUUUAUUAUUUUUAAAGGCACUGCAAUUGUGAAGUGCUGGGUAAAGCAUGUUUUCAUUUUUCCGCAGUGAAGGGAGAAGAGAGCAUGCUACCACAGAAGCACCCAGACUCACUGCACGAGCAAAAUCCUGUGGCCAUGGCCUAUUAAUAGUUCCUGAUAGUUUCAUUGCAGGCAGGGCCGGCCCCACCAUAGAGGCCAGUGACGCCGCCGCCUCGGGCGCAGGUCCCGGGGGGCGCCGUCAGGCUGGGCGGGAGGCCCGCCGCCCGAC
Long non-coding RNA from Anolis carolinensis (green anole), 1485 nucleotides. RefSeq lists it as uncharacterized. The transcript is spliced from 4 exons. Lineage: Eukaryota; Metazoa; Chordata; Lepidosauria; Squamata; Anolidae. The record is from RefSeq and is a predicted model, not a curated record.